AUUGAACGCUGGCGGCAUGCCUUACACAUGCAAGUCGAACGGUAACAGGUUAAGCUGACGAGUGGCGAACGGGUGAGUAAUGUAUCGGAACGUGCCCAGUCGUGGGGGAUAACUGCUCGAAAGAGCAGCUAAUACCGCAUACGACCUGAGGGUGAAAGCGGGGGAUCGCAAGACCUCGCGCGAUUGGAGCGGCCGAUAUCAGAUUAGGUAGUUGGUGAGGUAAAGGCUCACCAAGCCGACGAUCUGUAGCUGGUCUGAGAGGACGACCAGCCACACGGGGGCUGAGACACGGCCCAGACUCCUACGGGAGGCAGCAGUGGGGAAUUUUGGACAAUGGGCGCAAGCCUGAUCCAGCCAUGCCGCGUGCGGGAAGAAGGCCUUCGGGUUGUAAACCGCUUUUGUCAGGGAAGAAAAGGUUCUGGCUAAUACCUGGGACUCAUGACGGUACCUGAAGAAUAAGCACCGGCUAACUACGUGCAAGCAGCCGCCGCCG
This 493-nucleotide ribosomal RNA is filed under the name uncultured bacterium. Its description in RNAcentral is "partial 16S ribosomal RNA". It matches the Rfam family "Bacterial small subunit ribosomal RNA", at positions 29 to 523 of the family's 1533-position model. The record is from RNAcentral.